Non-coding RNA from Cordylochernes scorpioides, 73 nucleotides. The record is from the annotation of a GenBank genome assembly. NCBI's taxonomy places the organism in Eukaryota, Metazoa, Arthropoda, Arachnida, Pseudoscorpiones, Chernetidae.
UCCAGGGUAGUCUAGUGGACAUGGCACCUGCCCGGUAAGCAGAAGGUUGUGGGUUCGAUUCCCGCCCCUGGAC